AGUGAACGCUGGCGGUAGGCCUAACACAUGCAAGUCGAACGGCAGCACAGUAAGAGCUUGCUCUUACGGGUGGCGAGUGGCGGACGGGUGAGGAAUACAUCGGAAUCUACUUUUUCGUGGGGGAUAACGUAGGGAAACUUACGCUAAUAUCGCAUACGACCUACGGGUGAAAGCAGGGGAUCUUCGGACCUUGCGCGAUUGAAUGAGCCGAUGUUGGGUUAGCUAGUUGGGGGGGUAAGGGCCAACCAAGGCGGCGAUCCGUAGCUGGUCUGAGUGGAUGAUCGGCCACCCUGGAACUGGGACACGGUCCAGACUCCUACGAGAGGCAGCAGUGGGGAAUAUUGGACAAUGGGCGCAAGCCUGGUCCAGCCAUACCGCGUGGGUGAAGGAGGCCUUCGGGUUGUAAAGCCCUUUUGUUGGGAAAGAAAAGCAGCAGGUUAAUACCACGCUGUUCUGACGGUACCCAAAGAAUAAGCACCGGCUAACUUCGUG
Molecule: ribosomal RNA, 492 nt
Filed under: uncultured bacterium
Lineage: Bacteria
Description: partial 16S ribosomal RNA
Rfam family: Bacterial small subunit ribosomal RNA
Source: RNAcentral